CCUUUUGUAUAAUGGGUCAGCGACUUAUAUUCUGUAGCAAGGUUAACCGAAUAGGGGAGCCGAAGGGAAACCGAGUCUUAACUGGGCGUUAAGUUGCAGGGUAUAGACCCGAAACCCGGUGAUCUAGCCAUGGGCAGGUUGAAGGUUGGGUAACACUAACUGGAGGACCGAACCGACUAAUGUUGAAAAAUUAGCGGAUGACUUGUGGCUGGGGGUGAAAGGCCAAUCAAACCGGGAGAUAGCUGGUUCUCCCCGAAAGCUAUUUAGGUAGCGCCUCGUGAAUUCAUCUCCGGGGGUAGAGCACUGUUUCGGCAAGGGGGUCAUCCCGACUUACCAACCCGAUGCAAACUGCGAAUACCGGAGAAUGUUAUCACGGGAGACACACGGCGGGUGCUAACGUCCGUCGUGAAGAGGGAAACAACCCAGACCGCCAGCUAAGGUCCCAAAGUCAUGGUUAAGUGGGAAACGAUGUGGGAAGGCCCAGACAGCCAGGAUGUUGGCUUAGAAGCAGCCAUCAUUUAAAGAAAGCGUAAUAGCUCACUGGUCGAGUCGGCCUGCGCGGAAGAUGUAACGGGGCUAAACCAUGCACCGAAGCUGCGGCAGCGACGCUGAUGCGUUGUUGGGUAGGGGAGCGUUCUGUAAGCCUGCGAAGGUGUGCUGUGAGGCAUGCUGGAGGUAUCAGAAGUGCGAAUGCUGACAUAAGUAACGAUAAAGCGGGUGAAAAGCCCGCUCGCCGGAAGACCAAGGGUUCCUGUCCAACGUUAAUCGGGGCAGGGUGAGUCGACCCCUAAGGCGAGGCCGAAAGGCGUAGUCGAUGGGAAACAGGUUAAUAUUCCUGUACUUGGUGUUACUGCGAAGGGGGGACGGAGAAGGCUAUGUUGGCCGGGCGACGGUUGUCCCGGUUUAAGCGUGUAGGCUGGUUUUCCAGGCAAAUCCGGAAAAUCAAGGCUGAGGCGUGAUGACGAGGCACUACGGUGCUGAAGCAACAAAUGCCCUGCUUCCAGGAAAAGCCUCUAAGCAUCAGGUAACAUCAAAUCGUACCCCAAACCGACACAGGUGGUCAGGUAGAGAAUACCAAGGCGCUUGAGAGAACUCGGGUGAAGGAACUAGGCAAAAUGGUGCCGUAACUUCGGGAGAAGGCACGC
Molecule: ribosomal RNA, 1145 nt
Filed under: Escherichia coli
Lineage: Bacteria; Pseudomonadati; Pseudomonadota; Gammaproteobacteria; Enterobacterales; Enterobacteriaceae
Description: partial 23S ribosomal RNA
Rfam family: Bacterial large subunit ribosomal RNA
Source: RNAcentral